RNAcentral lists this long non-coding RNA (201 nucleotides) under Theobroma cacao (cacao). Its description in RNAcentral is "long non-coding RNA (TCAC_LNC000390)". Lineage: Eukaryota; Viridiplantae; Streptophyta; Magnoliopsida; Malvales; Malvaceae. The record is from RNAcentral.
AUGAAAGUAAUCUGGGUAACAUCUAUCAGUAGAUUCAUUAAAUCUAUCAAUAGGUAGCAACCCAAGAGUAAGUUUGAAAGUGUUCAGUGUGCCAUCUGUUGAUAGAUGUCCCUAUUUAUCGAUAAAUGGAGGGAAAAAUGCUGAAAAUCAUGAGGAAUCCAUCGAUAAAUGCACCCAUAUAUCUGUAGAUGCAUGUAAUAG